Molecule: ribosomal RNA, 466 nt
Filed under: uncultured bacterium
Lineage: Bacteria
Description: partial 16S ribosomal RNA
Rfam family: Bacterial small subunit ribosomal RNA
Source: RNAcentral
GAUGAACGCUGGCGGCGUGCUUAACACAUGCAAGUCGAACGAUGAAGCCCAGCUUGCUGGGUGGAUUAGUGGCGAACGGGUGAGUAACACGUGAGUAACCUGCCCUUGACUCUGGGAUAAGCGCUGGAAACGGCGUCUAAUACCGGAUACGAGCUUCCACCGCAUGGUGAGUUGCUGGAAAGAAUUUCGGUCAAGGAUGGACUCGCGGCCUAUCAGGUAGUUGGUGAGGUAACGGCUCACCAAGCCGACGACGGGUAGCCGGCCUGAGAGGGUGACCGGCCACACUGGGACUGAGACACGGCCCAGACUCCUACGGGAGGCAGCAGUGGGGAAUAUUGCACAAUGGGCGCAAGCCUGAUGCAGCAACGCCGCGUGAGGGACGAAGGCCUUCGGGUCGUAAACCUCUUUUAGCAGGGAAGAAGCGAAAGUGACGGUACCUGCGGAAAAAGCACCGGCUAACUACGUG